AAUUUUUCCAUGUCUUUGUCAUCUUAUUUUAUAUUUUUAAAGUCGUUCACGUUAUCACCAGAAUUUGGUUCCUAGUUUUUCUUGAAAUUCUUGGUGGAUUUACUUUACAGGAAAAGUAGACAAUUUUCUUCUUUUUAAGUUUCUGAUUUUUCGCCUGUUUAGUUGAAUCUUUGAGGAACAGUUUCGCGCGAACUUCAUUGCCAUCUGCGGUUCCAGUUUCAGAUUCCGAUCUCGUUUUGGAUUCAGUCUUGCCAAAAUGGCGAAGCGUGGAUAUAAGCUGCAGGAAUUUGUGGCUCAUACAACAAAUGUGAAUUGUCUAAGUAUGGGAAAAAAGACAUGUAGGCUUCUUAUUACCGGCGGAGAUUAUCAUAAAGUUAAUGUUUGGUCAAUUGGAAAACCUUCUUGUCUAAUGAGCCUAUGUGGU
Molecule: long non-coding RNA, 424 nt
Organism: Hibiscus syriacus
Lineage: Eukaryota; Viridiplantae; Streptophyta; Magnoliopsida; Malvales; Malvaceae
Exons: 3
Source: RefSeq, a predicted model, not a curated record